GACAGAGGGUGCAAACGUUGUUCGGAAUUACUGGGCAUAAAGCGCACGUAGGUGGUCCGCUAAGUCGCGUGUGAAAUCCCCCGGCUCAACCGGGGAAAUGCGCGUGAUACUGGCGGGCUUGAGAUCAGGAGGGGUGAAUGGAACUCCAGGUGGAGCGGUGAAAUGCGUAGAUAUCUGGAGGAACACCGGUGGCGAAAGCGGUUCACUGGCCCGACACUGACACUGAGGUGCGAAAGCUAGGGUAGCAAACGGG
RNAcentral lists this ribosomal RNA (253 nucleotides) under uncultured bacterium. Its description in RNAcentral is "partial 16S ribosomal RNA". It matches the Rfam family "Bacterial small subunit ribosomal RNA", at positions 524 to 776 of the family's 1533-position model. The record is from RNAcentral.